This 205-nucleotide unclassified non-coding RNA is filed under the name Hevea brasiliensis (rubber tree). The record is from RNAcentral. Lineage: Eukaryota; Viridiplantae; Streptophyta; Magnoliopsida; Malpighiales; Euphorbiaceae.
GGUUGCUAACUGAAAACCGGUUCUUGAGAGUUGAGGCCUGUUGCCGCCUGUUAAGGUUCCUGGCCAUACUGUAUAUGGACAAUUGUUUGUGAAAGUUAUCUUCGCCGGGUGAGCUCCACAAAAAAGAAAGGUGAAAGUAAGGCCGAGGAGCACAGAAGUCUUGUUCAUGGUUGAUUGCUUUGAAUGGAAUAGGAUUGAGCACUUA